RNAcentral lists this transfer RNA (76 nucleotides) under Corynebacterium pseudotuberculosis. RNAcentral describes it as "tRNA-Glu". The record is from RNAcentral. Lineage: Bacteria; Bacillati; Actinomycetota; Actinomycetes; Mycobacteriales; Corynebacteriaceae.
AUUUUUAUCCAUCUACGUGGCGAUUUGCUACUUUAUGGCAGUUGCACUUAAUAUCUUAUGAGUCCGCAGCGAAAGC